This 65-nucleotide transfer RNA is filed under the name Trypodendron signatum. RNAcentral's name for it is "tRNA-Tyr". It matches the Rfam family "tRNA". From Rfam's summary of the family: Transfer RNA (tRNA) molecules are approximately 80 nucleotides in length. Their secondary structure includes four short double-helical elements and three loops (D, anti-codon, and T loops). Lineage: Eukaryota; Metazoa; Arthropoda; Insecta; Coleoptera; Curculionidae. The record is from RNAcentral.
GGUAAAGUGGCUGAAGUUAAGGCGUUAAAUUGUAAAUUUAAAAAUGAAGUUAUUUUCCUUUGCUA